UACGGGGGGGGCAAGCGUUGUUCGGAAUUACUGGGCGUAAAGGGCUCGUAGGCGGCCAACUAAGUCGGAUGUGAAGUCCCCAGGCUCAACUUGGGAACUGCAUCCGAUACUGGAUGGCUUGAAUUCGGGAGAGGGAUGCAGAAUUCCAGGUGUAGCGGUGAAAUGCGUAGAUAUCUGGAGGAAUACCGGUGGCGAAGGCGGCAUCCUGGACCGGCAUUGACGCUGAUGAGCGAAAGCUAGGGGAGCAAACGGG
This 253-nucleotide ribosomal RNA is filed under the name uncultured bacterium. Its description in RNAcentral is "partial 16S ribosomal RNA". It matches the Rfam family "Bacterial small subunit ribosomal RNA", at positions 524 to 776 of the family's 1533-position model. The record is from RNAcentral.